ACGGGUGCCGACGUUGACACGUCUCGGUUCACGCGUUAUAAAAAGUGAUAUUUUUGACAGUCUCGGACGUGUGCAGCGAGGCGUGCACAUUGUAGGGGUGUGUCUUUUCUGCAGUACGGUGGUAGGCUGGAGCCAGGCGAUGCAGGCGCAUGGCUAUGCUGCUACGCAUUUGCAUUACAUGAGAAAGGGCUGCGUCGCCCACAUUUAGGAGUAGACUAAUCCGUUUUCUCGCCUGUCCAUGCGGUUUGGUCAUCCACUGCUUUAUGCGCACCCGGGAUCUCGGAUAGAUGGCUUAAAUUGAGGCAAUCCAGGGCUUUGAGGAACAUCCAACUCUUUAAUCACCAAUGAGCAUCUUUGGAUAUCCUGCUUGAGGGACAGCCACCCUGUUCCACUUACAUCUGUCAUCAUGAGAUGCCUUAGGCGGCUGGCCAAGACCCACACAGACUCACAUCCCCUGGGUAAUCUGCACUUUGUAUUGAGCAUUAAAUCACUAUCAAUAUAACUCUCUCUCUCUCUCUGGCUCAGAAUGUUGUAGGUUGACCACAGAGCAUCAAUGAAUCCCCUUCACCCUCAGGAACCAUCUCAGCGCCACUGUCUGCAACUCAACCCUGGAUUUGCUGAUGAGCAGGUCAGUGCUGGUAAAGAUUAGCGCCUUCUCCUCUCUUACUGUAAAGCAUGCCAGUGCUCACUGGUCUCACCUUAGACUAUUACACAGCAGAAUGCCAAUCUCUGAAAAUGCCACUGCAGCAAUAGGGGUGCUAAGAAGAACGGAAAUUAGAGUGUGCGGUGCAAAACAUAAAAACUUAGUGCAGAGUAUAAAUCUCAAUAUAAAUCCAUCUGUUUUUGUAAUGACUUCAGAGGCCUGUUAGAGAAUAUUAAUGAGCAAAGGGCUCCAAACAAACAAAAUAGAUCCCACCCCCCUGGAAGUUCAGGGACAAAGUGGUGGAGAAGUUUAAAGGAGGGUUAGGGCUAUUCAUGCUGUCACCUCAUGAAGGGAGGAGUGAGACACAACUGCAAACUGCCCAAAACGUGGCACACAAACUAAACUGAUCAGCCGGGGAAGGAGAGCGUUCAUCAAAGAAGAAGCCAAGAGACACACGGCAACUGUGGGAGCUCCAGAGGGCCUCGGCUCAGGUGGGAGUAUCAGUCUACAAGCCGUUUAUUAGCUGUCCACUCCCCAAAUUAGGUUUUUCAGGGAUAGUGGGAAGAAGAAGAAAACCCACUGGAAGUUUGGCUAAAGACUGCCACAAGCCAUUUAGGGACACCCUAAACUAGUCAAAUGAUAUGCUGUGUAAACAUGCAAAAUGCUACGUGUGCUGGAAAGCAAACACUACACAUCACCAUUCCUGUGUGAAACAUCUCCACAUCUUCCAAAUCCUAGAAUCCUUAGAAGCAAAAUACUUAAGACUGGAGAGGAUGUUCACUUUCUGCCCCGACAUACGGCCAGAGCUAUAACGGAACGGUGUAUUAAUAACCAUGCACACGUGUUACCAUGGACUAGCCAAAGUCCAGACCUAGAUCCAACUGAUCCAACUAGAUCAACAUUUGAAAUUCUUCAUCCAAUCUGACCUAAGCUUGAGACAUAUGAAAAACAUGUAUAGGCAAACAAUUCAGCCGCCAGAUGAGGUAUGAAUACUUUCUGAAGGGCCUGUCUCUUUCAGGAGCAUCCUGAUUUAGGAAACUUUUUUUUUCUUAAUCCAGAUGAAACGAUAUUUUACGCACCUUCAAAACCCAUGAACCCGGACAUUGAUCCACCUCUGACCCUUUGUCAUGUAUGCAUGCAGAAACGGUUCUCGGGCCUGCACAGAAACUUUCUGAUGACAGGACGAAGCAAAAGGGGAUGACAGUGGGAUACAGGAAAUAACAAGGUCGAGGAGGAAGCGCUCGGAUCGAUCUGAUGGAAGUGGAGAGAGUCAGCAGUUUUGAGUCCCCUCGGAUCAAUAUUAGUCGGUGAUGUAAACAUGGAGACUGACCAUGGCUAUAAACAUGCCCAUAGUCCUCCACAUGUGCAGCACUGAGAGCUGCAGCUCCUGGGUCAAAUAUAUGUGGUGUGAUGCACAGCUCUGCUCUGCAAAUCUAUGCAGCAGGGUGAUGUAAACAGCACAGGUUCUCAAAGGAAGUAAACAGCCAAUGCAGGGGAGGGGGGGUUUACCAAGAGAGACGCUCAUGGAGCUCCCAACACACCCUGGCCACAACCCUGGCAAUCCUGAGAGCUUUGGAAAACAUUACAGGUAAGAAUUUCCAGUGGUUUCAGGACAGCAUCGGUGCUCCACUCGUGCCUUUUCCUGUCUACGCAAAACACAAUAUCGUAGCAGUUGUUUGUGUGUGUGUGUGU
This is a long non-coding RNA of Fundulus heteroclitus (mummichog), 2335 nucleotides long. RefSeq lists it as uncharacterized. NCBI's taxonomy places the organism in Eukaryota, Metazoa, Chordata, Actinopteri, Cyprinodontiformes, Fundulidae. The transcript is spliced from 3 exons. The record is from RefSeq and is a predicted model, not a curated record.